GCUAGAACGGAACGGAAGAAACCAGAGGCAGGAGGAGAAAAUACAGGAACUAACAGUGCGACCCGCUCUGGCUGGCGCUUUGAUUUUCCCAUUUACUCUAGCCUGCCCACCCCAGGUUGUCAAGAAACCCACAGUCACAGGAGGUGACAUAUGCAUGCCCAGAGAUCUACCCAAAAGAAUAUAAGUGACAGUACCAGCAAGGAAUUCAGAAGAGAAAACUUCAUUUGUGGGAGGGAGUUGGGGGAGAGAGGAGAAGCAGUAUCUGGAAAGGCUCCCUGGAGGAGGUAACAUUUAGGCUGGACCUAGAAGAAACGAAGUGUGGAUUCUCCAAGAGAGAUGGGUUGUUUGCCAGCAUACUGGCAAGUCAAGAGGUGCCAGACCCACAGUUGCGGACGAAGUAGGAGUCAUACUUUCAUCCCCUGCUGCCAUCUCCCAGCUGCCCUCCUAAUUUGAACACUGCGUUGACCACAUUUUGAGCCAAGGUCCUAAUCCCUUUUAGGAUUGAAAACCUAUGGCUUGAGAGUGGACACCCAGCAGGUAGACUUUGACUGUCUAGAACCGUGAAUUUAGACCAAAGGGGACUGUCAAGGGCAGGGAUGGGAAAAUGGCACUAGGGGCGCUCUCACCAGAGCUCCUAACUACUAGAGCCAAGCAUUCCCGCGCUUUUCCCAGAGGGAUCUGAUCUGAGAUGUACCUUGGCCAAUCUGCAGUUUGUCUUUCUGGAGUCACAGGCAGUCGUAGACUGCGAAAGUGAAGAUCCCCAGGCGGUGGAGAGGACUGGUUUCGGUUAUACAUCCCCAUGAAUGAUCUGUGCCUUCUGUCAGCAAAACAAAAAAGCAUCAGUCACACCAAUUUAGUGAAGUCUCCAAACGUAUUCUGAAUGAAAUUCUACUUUUUUUUUUGUACACAACCAAUUUCUUCGUUUGAAGUUGGAUGCUUCGCAAGCAGAAUGCAAUUCCAUUUCUCAUUCCUCAAAGUUGUGGCCUGUGUUAACUUAAGUGGGCAUUCACACAAGUAUUAAGAAGAAAAACCAUUCUCUUCUGGAAAAUGGAACAAAGUAGCACUUCUCCAAGCAGGGUGCAGAUAUAUAAUCUGUAACAACAAAUUAGCUCCCUAGUGCUGCGCAUUUCCAGCUAGCAUCCUGCCUUCCCUGUUUAUAACUUUGGUGCCUGCAAUUAUUUUUAUUUUAAUUUUCUGUCACUUUAACAAAAACCAGAGCCUUUUCUUUUAAUGUUUUGUACACAACAUGUUCAUUUUGAUAAGAUGUUCUUUCCUAUCCUCUUUUAGCUUGCCUUUCCUUGUUUAGAGUUCUGUAUCAGGCGUUUCUAAUAUUUCUCUCUCUUUUUUUAAGAACUUGUCCCUGUCUUGCUUUAUUUGUUUGUGUGAAAUUUAGUUUGAAAGGAGAUCAGAGAGAGCAGGAGGGGUUUGUAAUAAGAGAAUGACCGAAUGACCCAAAGGCUGAUUAUCUAUCAUUAACUGGAGACUUGGUGUACCCAAAUUACCAAGGAGACCUCAGUCUGCCGGAUCCUUACCCAGCUAGAAAGGCAAGCCUGGAAUGCACACACUGAAACAGGCUCAUGGCAUUGCAACCGAGGACGUAGUUCACACAAGAUUUUCUUAAGGGGUUUUCCUGCAAAACUCAACUCAAGUUCAGUAGAUAAAUUUUCUAGAUUCUGAUAUGUUGUACUCAGGUAAAAAUCUCUGCCAAAAGAUUACCUAUAACAUUUCUGUAACUAACUUUUUUGUGUUGUUUUGUUAGGAGCAAAAUUGCAGUUAAUUGUCUAAGCUCCAGAGAAUAUUGAGAAAUCAAACCAAGCUGCUUUUGAUCUGCUCACACUGCUAAACCCAAGCCUUGUAAAAAUCGAGGUUUGCCAUUAAUAUUGACAAUAAAAGUGUUUCUUUUUGUUAACCUGAAA
This is a long non-coding RNA of Homo sapiens (human), 1916 nucleotides long. RefSeq lists it as uncharacterized. The record is from RefSeq and is a predicted model, not a curated record. The transcript is spliced from 2 exons. Lineage: Eukaryota; Metazoa; Chordata; Mammalia; Primates; Hominidae.